GGGCCUAACACAUGCAAGUCGAACGGCAGCGCGGGGAGCUCGCUCCCUGGCGGCGAGUGGCGGACGGGUGAGUAACGCGUAGGAAUCUGCCCAGUAGUGGGGGACAACUCCGGGAAACCGGGGCUAAUACCGCAUACGCCCUACGGGGGAAAGCGGGGGAUCUUCGGACCUCGCGCUAUUGGAUGAGCCUGCGUCGGAUUAGCUUGUUGGUGAGGUAACUGCUCACCAAGGCGACGAUCCGUAGCUGGUCUGAGAGGACGAUCAGCCACACUGGGACUGAGACACGGCCCAGACUCCUACGGGAGGCAGCAGUGGGGAAUAUUGGACAAUGGGCGAAAGCCUGAUCCAGCAAUGCCGCGUGUGUGAAGAAGGCCUUAGGGUUGUAAAGCACUUUCAGUAGGGAAGAAAAACGAGACGCUAAUAUCGUCUCGCCAUGACGUUACCUACAGAAGAAGCACCGGCUAACUCCGUGCCAGCAGCCGCGGUAAUACGGAGGGUGCGAGCGUUAAUCGGAAUUACUGGGCGUAAAGGGCGCGUAGGCGGCUUAGUCAGUCGGGUGUGAAGCCCCAGGCUUAACCUGGGAAUUGCAUUCGAUACUGCUGGGCUAGAGUGUGGUAGAGGAAAGCGGAAUUCCCGGUGUAGCGGUGAAAUGCGUAGAUAUCGGGAGGAACAUCAGUGGCGAAGGCGGCUUUCUGGACUA
This 700-nucleotide ribosomal RNA is filed under the name uncultured bacterium. RNAcentral describes it as "bacterial SSU rRNA". It matches the Rfam family "Bacterial small subunit ribosomal RNA", at positions 44 to 736 of the family's 1533-position model. The record is from RNAcentral.